CCUACGGGAGGCUGCAGUGGGGAAUAUUGCGCAAUGGGCGAAAGCCUGACGCAGCGACGCCGCGUGAGGGAUGAAGGUCUUCGGAUCGUAAACCUCUGUCAGCAGGGAAGAACGGUCACUGUGCUAAUCAGCAGUGAAUUGACGGUACCUGCAAAGGAAGCACCGGCUAACUCCGUGCCAGCCGCCGCGGUAAUACGGAGGGUGCGAGCGUUAAUCGGAAUUACUGGGCGUAAAGCGCUCGUAGGCGGUAUGUCAAGUCAAGGGUGAAAUCCCCGCGCUCAACGUGGGAACUGCCUUUGAAACUGGCAAACUGGAGUGUGUGAGAGGAUAGUGGAAUUCCAGGUGUAGGAGUGAAAUCCGUAGAUAUCUGGAGGAACAUCAGUGGCGAAGGCGACUAUCUGGCACAUAACUGACGCUGAGGAGCGAAAGCGUGGGUAGCAAACAGGAUUAGAUACCCCUGUAGUC
RNAcentral lists this ribosomal RNA (465 nucleotides) under uncultured bacterium. Its description in RNAcentral is "partial 16S ribosomal RNA". It matches the Rfam family "Bacterial small subunit ribosomal RNA", at positions 338 to 795 of the family's 1533-position model. The record is from RNAcentral.